Molecule: ribosomal RNA, 465 nt
Filed under: uncultured bacterium
Lineage: Bacteria
Description: partial 16S ribosomal RNA
Rfam family: Bacterial small subunit ribosomal RNA
Source: RNAcentral
CCUACGGGAGGCUGCAGUGGGGAAUAUUGCGCAAUGGGCGAAAGCCUGACGCAGCGACGCCGCGUGAGGGAUGAAGGUCUUCGGAUCGUAAACCUCUGUCAGCAGGGAAGAACGGUCACUGUGCUAAUCAGCAGUGAAUUGACGGUACCUGCAAAGGAAGCACCGGCUAACUCCGUGCCAGCAGCCGCGGUAAUACGGAGGGUGCGAGCGUUGAUCGGAAUUACUGGGCGUAAAGCGCUCGUAGGCGGUAUGUCAAGUCAAGGGGGAAAUCCCCGCGCUCAACGUGGGAACUGCCUUUGAAACUGGCAAACUGGAGUGUGUGAGAGGAUAGUGGAAUUCCAGGUGGAGGAGUGAAAGUCGUAGAUAUCUGGAGGAACAUCAGUGGCGAAGGCGACUAUCUGGCACAUAACUGACGCUGAGGAGCGAAAGCGUGGGUAGCAAACAGGAUUAGAUACCCUUGUAGUC